GUGCCAGCCGCCGCGGUAAUACGUAGGGACCAAGCGUUGUUCGGAUUUACUGGGCGUAAAGGGCGCGUAGGCGGCAUAUUAAGUCAGCUGUGAAAUCUCCGAGCUUAACUCGGAACUGUCAGCUGAUACUGAUGUGCUAGAGUGCAGAAGGGGCAAUCGGAAUUCUUGGUGUAGCGGUGAAAUGCGUAGAUAUCAAGAGGAACACCUGAGGUGAAGACGGGUUGCUGGGCUGACACUGACGCUGAGUGCGCGAAAGCCAGGGGAGCAAACGGGAUUAGAUACCCCCGUAGUCC
This 293-nucleotide ribosomal RNA is filed under the name uncultured bacterium. RNAcentral describes it as "partial 16S ribosomal RNA". It matches the Rfam family "Bacterial small subunit ribosomal RNA", at positions 505 to 796 of the family's 1533-position model. The record is from RNAcentral.